CGGGCCAUGGGGCGCCCGGGUGGGCGGGCGGCCGGAGCAGGAGCCCGGCGGGACUCGGCGCCAGGCGAUCUGAAAAAUAAAUAUACCUGCAAGUUCCUUGCUUUACCCCUGGGGACCCUGUGGGAUCCAGCCCAUCCACUUCUCCCGCCCUCCCACACUGUCUGGCUUUCACUCCUGGAGACCUUUCCAGUCUCGGUAAGAAAAUAGACAUGCAGUUUCAUCUUCCUAAAAUGCCCACCCCACGCUCUCUCUUCACAUCCUGAUUCUUCUUCAUGGGGAUAUGAUGCCCCUGGUCUCUCCUCGCAGUGAGCCCCCCAGCCCCAAUCACUUUCUUCUCUCCCCACCUGUUCCCCUGCCAGCACUCCUCACAGUUUAUAAUCACAUGUUGAUUACUUCUUAUUUAUUUUCUGUCACUAGAUUGGAAGCUCCUGAGGACAGAAGUCCUAUAUAUUUUUAAUAUUUAUUGAUUUGGCUCUGCCAUGUCUUAGUUGUAGCACCUGGGAUGUUUUGAAUUCUUAGUUGGGGCAUGUGGGAUCUAGUUCCCUGACAAGGAAUGAACCCAGGCCACUUAUUGGGAGCGUGGAGUUUUAGCCACUGGACCACCAGGGAAACCCUGGGGAUCCUGUGUUUUAUNNCUGACCGUCAGUGGCUUCCCACAUUGAGAUAGCAUGGAGUCGGCGCUGCCAUGUUCCAGACACCUCAUGAGGCUGGAGACCUGAGGGU
This 723-nucleotide long non-coding RNA is filed under the name Capra hircus (goat). Its description in RNAcentral is "lncRNA (ENSCHIG00010005435.1)". Lineage: Eukaryota; Metazoa; Chordata; Mammalia; Artiodactyla; Bovidae. The record is from RNAcentral.